UAUGUAAAAGCUUGUGAGAGAAGUGAUUGUAUGAGCGCGCCCGCUUCAAGGUGGGAGCCAGUGAUGACGUGGCUGAUAAUGUUGCGUCAGGCGAGUAACCGAGCAUCGCUACAGCUCCAGCUCUCGCCAGUGAAGUGAUCACGCGCUCUUUUUAAUUGAUCAGCAGAGCUCAAGAUUUACAUG
This 183-nucleotide non-coding RNA is filed under the name Selaginella moellendorffii. Lineage: Eukaryota; Viridiplantae; Streptophyta; Lycopodiopsida; Selaginellales; Selaginellaceae. The record is from RNAcentral.